This 79-nucleotide unclassified non-coding RNA is filed under the name Kaistella antarctica. RNAcentral describes it as "Chryseobacterium antarcticum Flavo-1 RNA". The record is from RNAcentral. Lineage: Bacteria; Pseudomonadati; Bacteroidota; Flavobacteriia; Flavobacteriales; Weeksellaceae.
UUUGCGCCCCAGCUUGAGUGGAACUCUUUUUGCGAAACGCAGUGCAGCAAAAAAGUGGGAACGGAAGAUGGAUGAAGGC